UUCCUUGUGGCUCAGCUGGUAAAGAAUCCACCUGAAAUGUGGGAGACCUGGGUUCGAUUCCUGGCUUGGGAA
RNAcentral lists this transfer RNA (72 nucleotides) under Bos taurus (domestic cattle). It matches the Rfam family "tRNA". From Rfam's summary of the family: Transfer RNA (tRNA) molecules are approximately 80 nucleotides in length. Their secondary structure includes four short double-helical elements and three loops (D, anti-codon, and T loops). Further hydrogen bonds mediate the characteristic L-shaped molecular structure. tRNAs have two regions of fundamental functional importance: the anti-codon, which is responsible for specific mRNA codon recognition, and the 3' end, to which the tRNAs corresponding amino acid is attached (by aminoacyl-tRNA synthetases). tRNAs cope with the degeneracy of the genetic code in two manners: having more than one tRNA (with a specific anti-codon) for a particular amino acid; and 'wobble' base-pairing, i.e. permitting non-standard base-pairing at the 3rd anti-codon position. The record is from Rfam by way of RNAcentral. RNAcentral also lists the same sequence under 4 other names. Lineage: Eukaryota; Metazoa; Chordata; Mammalia; Artiodactyla; Bovidae.